AGCGAACGCUGGCGGCAGGCUUAACACAUGCAAGUCGAGCGGGCGUAGCAAUACGUCAGCGGCAGACGGGUGAGUAACGCGUGGGAACAUACCUUUUGGUUCGGAACAACACAGGGAACUUAGUGCUAAUACCGGAUAAGCCCUUACGGGGAAAGGAUUAUCGCCGAAGAUUGGCCCGCGUCUGAUUAGCUAGUUGGUGAGGUAACGGCUCACCAAGGCGACGGUCAGUAGCUGGUC
Molecule: ribosomal RNA, 237 nt
Filed under: uncultured bacterium
Lineage: Bacteria
Description: partial 16S ribosomal RNA
Rfam family: Bacterial small subunit ribosomal RNA
Source: RNAcentral